Long non-coding RNA from Vicia villosa (hairy vetch), 1244 nucleotides. RefSeq lists it as uncharacterized. The record is from RefSeq and is a predicted model, not a curated record. The transcript has 6 exons. Lineage: Eukaryota; Viridiplantae; Streptophyta; Magnoliopsida; Fabales; Fabaceae.
CCUCACUUUCGUUUUCUCUCUCUCUUCUUCUCUUUUAUCACUUUUUCCUGAAACCCUAAUCUGCCGCCGAGUUACCAAAGUUCAAGCAAAGAAAGAACCGAAAAAGAUAACAACAAAUGGCAUUAGGGUCACGAUCGAUAACCGGAGAUCCAGAAAUCGAUAGAGAACAGUGAAGAUCUUAUGCACGUCCAACCGCCAUCGACAUAGCCCUCGCCAAUCUUCUUCGCGAAUCACCUAACACUCUCUACAUUACAACCAAGUAAGUAAAACUCAGACACAUUCACUCAUUCAUUCAGAUUCGUAAACCACGAUUCUUGCGGUUGUUUAUUUGUGUUGUUCUAUGUUCUAAAGACAAGUGAUAUGUAUUGGAUGACUUCCAAUAUUUUGCAUUGGAUAUGUAUUUUUUAGUUUUUUAUUUUGAUUUUUGUAUAAUGCUUUUCGAUGAUUUUGACACAAACUACCCGGGACUGCAACAAACUUACAACAACAAGGCAUGGAUCUUUUGGUGGAGUUCGAUUGAAAAAAAUGGGUGCCUUCCAGUAUUUUGGACUUAAGGAAGAUAGUACCUUGCAGCCUGGGUGAAGGAAUACAAGGGUGGAAAAUUUGCUCUUUCAGUACUUGAAGAAUUUCUUUUCCCUCCACACUUUUUUAGUUCUCUUCCAUCACUUCAGUUCACUUCUCUUUCCUUAUUAUGUCAUUCACUGAUUCAUGCUUCAACGCUAACCGGUGAUUUAUUUAACUUCAAAUUUUCUGUUUCCCAAUGAAAGCUCCACCAUUCUCAAGUUUGAAUACAUCAGUGGCUAUUUGGAUGAUCCCAUUUGAACUUAGUGGAGCAAUAUGGGAAAAGAAACCGUACAAGAAACCGCAAACUCUGUCAUUCAAUUCUGGUUCAUAGGGUGCAUUUGAAGACAAAAGUUUCUCCUUUAUUAAGGAUGUUAAGACCAUUGAUAACAUGAUUUGUCUUAAGGAUGUUAGAGAUAAAGAGAUUCACAAAAUUGCAAUGGUUGUUAGGAAAAUAAAUAGAGUUGUCGAUAUUCUCCAUAUUGGGUUCUAAGACAGUAUGAACAUGGAACUUGACUUUGUUGUGACGAAUAAAAAAAAGUCAAUUAAGAUUUGGCACUAAUUUUGAAUUCAAUUUCACAUAAUGGUCAUCUCUUAGUUAAUAAUGAAUUAUGAGACAUAAAUGUAUUUCUACAACAAUAUCAUCAUAUUUAUUAUUUGUGUGUAAGUGAUUGGUCAAUAAU